Molecule: ribosomal RNA, 305 nt
Filed under: uncultured bacterium
Lineage: Bacteria
Description: partial 16S ribosomal RNA
Rfam family: Bacterial small subunit ribosomal RNA
Source: RNAcentral
ACAGCAGUAGCCGCGGGAAUACGGAGGAUCCAAGCGUUAUCCGGAAUCAUUGGGUUUAAAGGGUCCGUAGGCGGUCUUGUAAGUCAGUGGUGAAAGCCCAUCGCUCAACGGUGGAACGGCCAUUGAUACUGCAGGACUUGAAUUAUUGGGAAGUAACUAGAAUAUGUAGUGUAGCGGUGAAAUGCUUAGAGAUUACAUGGAAUACCAAUUGCGAAGGCAGGUUACUACCAAUUGAUUGACGCUGAUGGACGAAAGCGUGGGUAGCGAACAGGAUUAGAUACCCCAGUAGUCCCUGUCUCUUAUAA